RNAcentral lists this transfer RNA (71 nucleotides) under Ochromonas danica. RNAcentral's name for it is "tRNA-Gly". It matches the Rfam family "tRNA". From Rfam's summary of the family: Transfer RNA (tRNA) molecules are approximately 80 nucleotides in length. Their secondary structure includes four short double-helical elements and three loops (D, anti-codon, and T loops). Further hydrogen bonds mediate the characteristic L-shaped molecular structure. tRNAs have two regions of fundamental functional importance: the anti-codon, which is responsible for specific mRNA codon recognition, and the 3' end, to which the tRNAs corresponding amino acid is attached (by aminoacyl-tRNA synthetases). tRNAs cope with the degeneracy of the genetic code in two manners: having more than one tRNA (with a specific anti-codon) for a particular amino acid; and 'wobble' base-pairing, i.e. permitting non-standard base-pairing at the 3rd anti-codon position. Lineage: Eukaryota; Chrysophyceae; Chromulinales; Chromulinaceae. The record is from RNAcentral.
GCGGAUAUAAAUUAAUGGUAGAUUUUCUGCCUUCCAAGCAGACAGUAUGGGUUCAAAUCCCAUUGUCCGCA